GGGAGCGGGCUUGCUCGCGAAGGGGCCGUCAGGUUCAACACCUAUGUCGACCGUUAUACCGCCUUCGCGAGCAAGCCCGCUCCC
RNAcentral lists this non-coding RNA (84 nucleotides) under Pseudomonas sp. NFACC37-1. Lineage: Bacteria; Pseudomonadati; Pseudomonadota; Gammaproteobacteria; Pseudomonadales; Pseudomonadaceae. The record is from RNAcentral.